GGAGUGCACGUCCUCACCGUCUGCAGUAGACGCUGAGAGAGGAGCUUGCUCUUCUUGGAUGAGUUGCGAACGGGUGAGUAACGCGUGGUAACCUGCCUUGUAGCGGGGGAUAACUAUUGGAAACGAUAGCUAAUACCGCAUAACAAUGGAUGACACAUGUCAUUUAUUUGAAAGGGGCAAUUGCUCCACUACAAGAUGGACCUGCGUUGUAUUAGCUAGUAGGUGAGGUAAUGGCUCACCUAGGCGACGAUACAUAGCCGACCUGAGAGGGUGAUCGGCCACACUGGGACUGAAACACGGCCCAGACUCCUACGGGAGGCAGCAGUAGGGAAUCUUCGGCAAUGGGGGCAACCCUGACCGAGCAACGCCGCGUGAGUGAAGAAGGUUUUCGGAUCGUAAAGCUCUGUUGUAAGUCAAGAACGGGUGUGAGAGUGGAAAGUUCACACUGUGACGGUAGCUUACCAGAAAGGGACGGCUAACUACGUGCCAGCAGCCGCGGUAAUACGUAGGUCCCGAGCGUUGUCCGGAUUUAUUGGGCGUAAAGCGAGCGCAGGCGGUUUAGAUAAGUCUGAAGUUAAAGGCUGUGGCUCAACCAUAGUUCGCUUUGGAAACUGUCAAACUUGAGUGCAGAAGAGGGAGAGUGAAAUUCCAUGUGUAGCGGUGAAAUGCGUAGAUAUAUGGAGGAACACCGGUGGCGAAAGCGGCUCUCUGGUCUGUAACUGACGCUGAGGCUCGAAAGCGUGGGGAGCGACAGGAUUAGAUACCCUGUAGUCCACGCCGUAAACGAUGAGUGCUAAGUGUUGGAUCCUUUCCGGGAUUCAGUGCCGCAGCUAACGCAUUAAGCACUCCGCCUGGGGAGUACGACCGCAAGGUUGAAACUCAAAGGAAUUGACGGGGGCCCGCACAAGCGGUGGAGCAUGUGGUUUAAUUCGAAGCAACGCGAAGAACCUUACCAGGUCUUGACAUCCCGAUGCUAUUUCUAGAGAUAGAAAGUUACUUCGGUACAUCGGUGACAGGUGGUGCAUGGUUGUCGUCAGCUCGUGUCGUGAGAUGUUGGGUUAAGUCCCGCAACGAGCGCAACCCCUAUUGUUAGUUGCCAUCAUUCAGUUGGGCACUCUAGCGAGACUGCCGGUAAUAAACCGGAGGAAGGUGGGGAUGACGUCAAAUCAUCAUGCCCCUUAUGACCUGGGCUACACACGUGCUACAAUGGUUGGUACAACGAGUUGCGAGUCGGUGACGGCGAGCUAAUCUCUUAAAGCCAAUCUCAGUUCGGAUUGUAGGCUGCAACUCGCCUACAUGAAGUCGGAAUCGCUAGUAAUCGCGGAUCAGCACGCCGCGGUGAAUACGUUCCCGGGCCUUGUACACACCGCCCGUCACACCACGAGAGUUUGUAACACCCGAAGUCGGUGAGGUAACCUCUAUUGGAGCCAGCCGCCUAAGGUGGGACAGAUGACUGGGGGAAGUCGGUAGAGUUAUUGGC
This 1480-nucleotide ribosomal RNA is filed under the name Streptococcus thermophilus. RNAcentral's name for it is "bacterial SSU rRNA". It matches the Rfam family "Bacterial small subunit ribosomal RNA". The record is from RNAcentral. Lineage: Bacteria; Bacillati; Bacillota; Bacilli; Lactobacillales; Streptococcaceae.